GUUGUAUGGUUAAGUGACUAAGCGUACACGGUGGAUGCCUUGGCAGUCAGAGGCGAUGAAAGACGUAGUAACUUGCGAUAAGCCCAGAUUAGGUAGUAACAACCAUUUGAGUCUGGGAUUUCUGAAUGGGGAAACCCACUUACAUAAGUAAGUAUCAUUAACUGAAUACAUAGGUUAAUGAGGCGAACCGGGGGAACUGAAACAUCUAAGUACCCCGAGGAAAAGAAAUCAACCGAGAUUCCGAAAGUAGCGGCGAGCGAAAUUGGACUAGCCCUUAAGCUUUACACGCGUUAGACGAACGGUCUGGAAAGUCCGACGAUACAGGGUGAUAGUCCCGUAGUUGACGACGUGUGUUCAGUGAAAUCGAGUAGGGCGGGACACGUGAUAUCCUGUCUGAAUAUGGGGGGACCAUCCUCCAAGGCUAAAUACUACUGACUGACCGAUAGUGAACCAGUACCGUGAGGGAAAGGCGAAAAGAACCCCUGUGAGGGGAGUGAAAUAGAACCUGAAACCGUGUACGUACAAGCAGUAGGAGCAGGCUUUGUCCUGUGACUGCGUACCUUUUGUAUAAUGGGUCAGCGACUUAUAUUCAGUGGCAAGGUUAACCAUCUAGGGGAGCCGUAGGGAAACCGAGUCUUAACUGGGCGUUCAGUCUCUGGAUAUAGACCCGAAACCAGGUGAUCUAGCCAUGGGCAGGUUGAAGGUUGAGUAACAUCAACUGGAGGACCGAACCGACUAAUGUUGAAAAAUUAGCGGAUGACUUGUGGCUAGGGGUGAAAGGCCAAUCAAACCUGGAGAUAGCUGGUUCUCCCCGAAAGCUAUUUAGGUAGCGCCUCGGACGAAUACUACUGGGGGUAGAGCACUGUUAAGGCUAGGGGGUCAUCCCGACUUACCAACCCUUUGCAAACUCCGAAUACCAGUAAGUACUAUCCGGGAGACACACGGCGGGUGCUAACGUCCGUCGUGGAGAGGGAAACAACCCAGACCGCCAGCUAAGGUCCCAAAUUACUACUAAGUGGGAAACGAUGUGGGAAGGCUCAGACAGCCAGGAUGUUGGCUUAGAAGCAGCCAUCAUUUAAAGAAAGCGUAAUAGCUCACUGGUCGAGUCGGCCUGCGCGGAAGAUGUAACGGGGCUAAGUAGUAAACCGAAGCUGCGGCAAUGUGCUUUUGCACAUUGGGUAGGGGAGCGUUCUGUAAGCGGUUGAAGGUGUGUGGUAACGCAUGCUGGACGUAUCAGAAGUGCGAAUGCUGACAUGAGUAACGAUAAAGGGGGUGAAAAACCUCCUCGCCGGAAGACCAAGGGUUCCUGUCCAACGUUAAUCGGGGCAGGGUAAGUCGACCCCUAAGGCGAGGCCGAAAGGCGUAGUCGAUGGGAAACGGGUUAAUAUUCCCGUACUUCUUACAAUUGCGAUGGGGGACGGAGAAGGCUAGGUGGGCCUGGCGACGGUUGUCCAGGUUCAAGUGCGUAGGCUUAAGAGUUAGGUAAAUCCGGCUCUUUUUAAGGCUGAGACACGACGUCGAGCACCUACGGGUGUGAAGUCAUUGAUGCCAUGCUUCCAGGAAAAGCCUCUAAGCUUCAGAUUGUAAGGAAUCGUACCCCAAACCGACACAGGUGGUCGGGUAGAGAAUACCAAGGCGCUUGAGAGAACUCGGGUGAAGGAACUAGGCAAAAUGGUACCGUAACUUCGGGAGAAGGUACGCUCUCGACGGUGAAGUCCCUCGCGGAUGGAGCUAUUGAGAGUCGCAGAUACCAGGUGGCUGCAACUGUUUAUUAAAAACACAGCACUGUGCAAAAUCGUAAGAUGACGUAUACGGUGUGACGCCUGCCCGGUGCCGGAAGGUUAAUUGAUGGGGUUAGACUUCGGUCGAAGCUCUUGAUCGAAGCCCCGGUAAACGGCGGCCGUAACUAUAACGGUCCUAAGGUAGCGAAAUUCCUUGUCGGGUAAGUUCCGACCUGCACGAAUGGCGUAAUGAUGGCCACGCUGUCUCCACCCGAGACUCAGUGAAAUUGAAAUCGCUGUGAAGAUGCAGUGUACCCGCGGCUAGACGGAAAGACCCCGUGAACCUUUACUACAGCUUGGCACUGAACAUUGACCCUACAUGUGUAGGAUAGGUGGGAGGCUUUGAAGCACGUACGCCAGUAUCUGUGGAGCCGUCCUUGAAAUACCACCCUUGUAGUGUUGAUGUUCUAACGUCGACCCCUUAUCGGGGUUGCGGACAGUGCCUGGUGGGUAGUUUGACUGGGGCGGUCUCCUCCCAAAGAGUAACGGAGGAGCACGAAGGUGGGCUAAUCACGGUUGGACAUCGUGAGGUUAGUGCAAUGGCAUAAGCCCGCUUGACUGCGAGAAUGACAAUUCGAGCAGGUGCGAAAGCAGGUCAUAGUGAUCCGGUGGUUCUGAAUGGAAGGGCCAUCGCUCAACGGAUAAAAGGUACUCCGGGGAUAACAGGCUGAUACCGCCCAAGAGUUCAUAUCGACGGCGGUGUUUGGCACCUCGAUGUCGGCUCAUCACAUCCUGGGGCUGAAGUCGGUCCCAAGGGUAUGGCUGUUCGCCAUUUAAAGUGGUACGCGAGCUGGGUUUAGAACGUCGUGAGACAGUUCGGUCCCUAUCUGCCGUGGGCGUUGGAAGAUUGAAGGGGGCUGCUCCUAGUACGAGAGGACCGGAGUGGACGAACCUCUGGUGUUCGGGUUGUGUCGCCAGACGCAUUGCCCGGUAGCUAAGUUCGGAAUCGAUAACCGCUGAAAGCAUCUAAGCGGGAAGCGAGCCCUGAGAUGAGUCUUCCCUGAUACUUUAAGUAUCCUAAAGGGUUGUCGGAGACUACGACGUUGAUAGGUCAGGUGUGUAAGUGCUGUGAGGCAUUGAGCUAACUGAUACUAAUUGCCCGUGAGGCUUAACCAUACAACACCCAAGGGGUUU
RNAcentral lists this ribosomal RNA (2915 nucleotides) under Vibrio parahaemolyticus. Its description in RNAcentral is "23S ribosomal RNA". It matches the Rfam family "Bacterial large subunit ribosomal RNA". Lineage: Bacteria; Pseudomonadati; Pseudomonadota; Gammaproteobacteria; Vibrionales; Vibrionaceae. The record is from RNAcentral.